RNAcentral lists this ribosomal RNA (519 nucleotides) under Triticum aestivum (bread wheat). Its description in RNAcentral is "partial small subunit ribosomal RNA". The record is from RNAcentral. Lineage: Eukaryota; Viridiplantae; Streptophyta; Magnoliopsida; Poales; Poaceae.
AUGCCCCUGCCGUGUGCGCCACGCCGGCGGCCGCGCGCCCGCCGCUCCAUGUCUCGCGCCGCUGCCCGCCCCCGCCCCCUCCGCCACGCCGCCAGCUCCACCUCCGCUACGGCAUGCCGCUGCACCGCGGCCUCCUUACCCGCGGCAUCGGCAUCGGCGUGGGACUGGACCCGCUGGAGCUGGCACUUCGCGGAGGUGGACCAGGCCGAGAUCUACGCGUCCGUGCUGCGCUUCCAGCUGGAGGAGGCCGUGGAGGCCGAGGACUUCGCCGAGGCCGCCGCCCUCAAGCGCGCCCUCCUCGACGCCACCGCCGCCGACGCCGUCUCCUGCAUCAUGGCCGAGCUCAAGAGCGCCAUCGAGGAGCAGCGCUACCAGGACGCCUCCAGGCUGACCAAGCUCGUCGGAACCAGCCUGGUUUUGAGAUCUUUGCUUUCCCAUGCAACCAGUUUGGUGGGCAGGAACUUGGCAUUGAUAAGGAAAUUGUUCAGAUUGCGUGCAUGCCGAGUAUCUGAUUUCUGA